AGCGAACGCUGGCGGCAGGCCUAACACAUGCAAGUCGAGCGCCCCGCAAGGGGAGCGGCAGACGGGAGAGUAACACGUGGGAACGUACCCUUUGGUUCGGAAUAACCCAGGGAAACUUGGGCUAAUACCGGAUAAGCCCUUACGGGGAAAGAUUUAUCGCCGAAGGAUCGGCCCGCGUCUGAUUAGCUAGUUGGUGGGGUAACGGCCCACCAAGGCGACGAUCAGUAGCUGGUCUGAGAGGAUGAUCAGCCUCACUGGGACUGAGACACGGCCCAGACUCCUACGGGGGGCAGCAGUGGGGAAUAUUGGACAAUGGGCGCAAGCCUGAUCCAGCCAUGCCGCGUGGGUGAUGAAGGCCCUAGGGUUGUAAAGCCCUUUCGGCGGGGAAGAUAAUGACGGUACCCGCAGAAGAAGCCCCGGCUAACUUCGUGCCAGCCGCCGCGGUAA
Molecule: ribosomal RNA, 447 nt
Filed under: uncultured bacterium
Lineage: Bacteria
Description: partial 16S ribosomal RNA
Rfam family: Bacterial small subunit ribosomal RNA
Source: RNAcentral